UACAGAGGGUGCGAGUGUUGUUCGGAAUUAUUGGGCGUAAAGGGCGCGUAGGCGGUUGGGUAAGUCAGAUGUGAAAGCCCUGGGCUUAACUCAGGAAAUGCAUUUGAUACUGCUCAGCUCGAGUUCGGUAGAGGGUAGUGGAAUUCCCGGUGUAGAGGUGAAAUUCGUAGAGAUCGGGAGGAACACCAGUGGCGAGAGCGGCUACCUGGGCCGACACUGACGCUGAGGCGCGAGAGCGUGGGGAGCAAACAGG
Molecule: ribosomal RNA, 253 nt
Filed under: uncultured bacterium
Lineage: Bacteria
Description: partial 16S ribosomal RNA
Rfam family: Bacterial small subunit ribosomal RNA
Source: RNAcentral